Molecule: transfer RNA, 77 nt
Filed under: Bacillota bacterium
Lineage: Bacteria; Bacillati; Bacillota
Description: Firmicutes bacterium (anaerobic digester metagenome) tRNA-Arg
Rfam family: tRNA
About the family: Transfer RNA (tRNA) molecules are approximately 80 nucleotides in length. Their secondary structure includes four short double-helical elements and three loops (D, anti-codon, and T loops).
Source: RNAcentral
GCGCCCGUAGCUCAGCUGGAUAGAGUAACUGACUACGAAUCAGGAGGUCAGAGGUUCGAAUCCUCUCGGGCGCGCCA